CAGCCCUAUGCAAAAUGUACUGUGGUACACUAUAGUACAACAUAAAGUAUGCAGACGCUUUUCGUUUGCAGUUCAGUAAGUGAAACAACAAUACAUGAGACUACCACUUGAAGUCUAGUGUAGCCCUAAAGCUGAUCCAUGGUGUCCUCUGAAUUUGGCGUCAAACUGUUAUGUUUGCUUUAGGUGUGUCUGUACGCCGACUUUGAGAUUGUGUGUGUGUGUGUGUAUGACAGAACCCUCUCCACCAAUGGAUGAAAAGGAGUGGCAUAUCUUUAACGUGCCUUACAGCAAGGUGCUGCUCCUGGGGGCCAUCGCCGCGGCGACCGUCUUCGUUGUGACCAUUCUCAUCGUGCUGGUGUGUGUCGGAUGCCAAAGCUGUCCUAGGAAAGACAAAAGAAAAUACUCUUCAACCAAUACGCACACGCUAUACGCCACGGUAGAACGGUAGAACCAGAGGUAGAACAGAACGGGGCCAGCCGACACGGAGAUGGCACAUCACAGCCAGGAGGGCGGCAAGAGUGUGUUCAACCUGCAGUCCUUCCCAAAAGUACGUAUGACUGUUAUGCCCCCUGCUGCUCAUUCAGUGCAAGUGCAUGCAAUAGAGCCAUAGAGAACAGUAAUGUUUGGUGAAAAUAUUUUGAUAUUGACAAUGAUUUGAAUGACAAAUUGUAGUGUUGGUUUUCACGAUUGUUUUCCUUUGGCAUUAUUUAAUUCCAGCAGUUCGUUUAUUCACACACUCGUCACAGUCCUUCAAUUCUAGCAAAGUCAAAGUCAAAGUCAAAGUCAAAGUGUUUAUUGUCACAUGCACCAAAUUGCUUCAGCGCAGUGAAAUUCUUAAGACUUGGCAGGCAACAUCUACGCAGUAGACGGCAUACAAGAUACAAAAAAAUAACAUAUAACACUAUAACAUAUAACAUAUAACAAGUAACAACAAUUUGACCACAAGGGCAAAACCUGUGAAUAAUUUUUUGUCACCGUCUUUUUUUUUCAGUAUCUCACGUUGAUGGAUUUUAAGCAGAAAUGGCUGCAGGGAGAAGCUAAUCUACAUCUUAACAACCCUCUGAAGCCUGGUUAAUGUGUGUCUACAAGCCUUAUCUCAAGCAUACUGCGGGACAUUUCCUCAGUGUUCCACCAAGCUGAACAAGAUUGUGGUGUGCAAAAAAAAAAAGAAAAAAAAUCCGAAUGUGCCUAUAAGACAAAGGCAUAGUCACAGUCUACACCAUUCAUAAAACCUUCCCUAAUGGUGUAACUCACGUCUUUAUCCUCCGGCAUUGUCUGGGGCUCAUAUGAACAGUGGUGGAGGAAGUA
Clupea harengus (Atlantic herring) is the source of this 1308-nucleotide long non-coding RNA. Lineage: Eukaryota; Metazoa; Chordata; Actinopteri; Clupeiformes; Clupeidae. The record is from Ensembl.